UUAAAUAACAUUUUAAUAUGAAAUUACAAUAUUAUUCCCAAUUAAAUUCACUACAACAAAAACGGUCUAUACCGACACUUUUAAAUGUAGGUACAUGUCAAAAAAGUGCUGCUAUCUAAAAUUAUCGACAUUUUUAAAAAUGGUUGCUAUAUGUGGAGUCGCUAGAUAUAUAGUGACAGUUAAAGAGUGUCGCUAUAACCUAAAAGAGUGCUGCUAAUUUACCAACACUUAUUUAAGCAUUUAGCAACCGCAGANAUUUACCAACACUUAUUUAAGCAUUUAACAACCGCCGAAACUCUAUCUCGUUGGCUGCGGUGGCGGAGGAGGACGACAGGAAAGGCUCUUCGUCUAGAAUUUCAGUGGAUUGAGUGAAGAGAGAAGAAAAGAUGGUAAUUGAUUUUUCUUUUUUUUUUUUCUUUUCUGUUUGUAAUCGAACCAAAUGGACUGGGUGUGGUGGAUUGAGUAGAGUAAUCUUUUAUUUUUGGUUGGAUUGGACUUUAUAUUUAGGCAUUAGUAGAUAUUUUUUUAAGUUUUAGGAUAAAUGGGACACUUACUCAAAAGUGUCCCAAACAUGUGUCCCUAUAACCUAAUUUUGUUGUAGUGAUUCUUUAUCAUAUUACACAAUACAAUACGACAGAAUUAAUUCGGAAUAUAUCCUAUAUAAUAUAACUAGUACACAGAAUUUUUUUUUUUUCCAAUAAUCAAUUUAUGGAUCUCCAUACAUUUUCACCUUUUACUUUUAUUAUAUAUAUUGGGAAAACUUCAAAUACCCUCCCAUGUAGUUUCGCAGUUUCUCAUUUUAAUAUUAUGUGGUUUAAAGUGUAUCAAGUUAGUAUCUUGUGGUUUCGUACUUUCUCACUUUAGUACCCUGUAGUUUAAAGUGUAUCAAGUUAGUACUAUGUGGUUUUAUUUUUGUAUCAAGUUAGUACUCUGUGGUUUUAUUUUUCUCUUUUUAUUAUUCAUUUCGGAGUAUUUUUUUCGUUAAAUCACUGACAAAGUUAAAACUAAAGGGUACUAAAAUAAAUAUUCGAUAAAUCUAGAUAGAGUAUCUGAAGUUUUUUUGUAUAUAAUUUAACGAAAUAUUAAACCACAGGGUACUAAAGAGAGAAAGUGCGAAACCAUAUGGUACUAACUUGAUACACUUUCAACUAUAUGGUACUGAAGUAAGAAAGUGCAAAAUUACGGGGGGUGUUUGAAGUUUU
RNAcentral lists this long non-coding RNA (1202 nucleotides) under Ananas comosus (pineapple). Its description in RNAcentral is "long non-coding RNA (ACOM_LNC000162)". The record is from RNAcentral. Lineage: Eukaryota; Viridiplantae; Streptophyta; Magnoliopsida; Poales; Bromeliaceae.